Molecule: long non-coding RNA, 1103 nt
Organism: Daphnia pulex (common water flea)
Lineage: Eukaryota; Metazoa; Arthropoda; Branchiopoda; Diplostraca; Daphniidae
Exons: 2
Source: RefSeq, a predicted model, not a curated record
AACCCUAUAAGUGUAAUCUGUAAUCAUAUAUGUUGUAUUGUAACAGCCACCAGAUGGCGCUGAUUGUGAAGGUGAGGCAACCUAUCUAUAGUCUUCUUCGGUUGCUGUUUAGUAACACUUUCACUCCGACUUGACAGUUCUGAUUUACAAUGGAUGUGUUUUUGUAUCUCCUAGAAUACUUCAAACAAGUUUAAACACUAUCAACACUUUGUUAAUUCUCUAACUUCAACAGGUUAUGGACCCAGGUUAACUGAUCUCCGCUUUGUCAGUAGUUGGACUGAUAAAUUGCAUAACAAACUACAAAGAGGAAAAGUGUGAUAAUGGUGAGGGCCUGGGUGAACAUCAAAAAUCAUUCGGAUCUGUUCGACGACAUCAACGAUCGAAUAUUACCUCUACCCGAAAUUCACCUUAUUGGCGCUGUAAGGCAAAGCACUAUGAUAUGGACUAACCAUUUGUCGGCAUGGUAGUGGAUUAAAGGCUCUGCGUUCCCCAUCGCCGUGUCAACCCUGAGCUUGUUUACCUGAACACCAUUGGUUCUUAAUUAACAAGGACAGCAUCCUAGAGGAACUGCUACUUCACACCACCACCUCUCCGAUGCCUUUUUGGGUCAUCUUCUAUAUUGGAAAACGCUUGAGUUUGCUAAUGCUUGUUUUAGCUUACGUCUUAUCUUACCCCUAAAAUGCAAGAUAUUUUAAUUUUUACAACUCGGCAGGCAUUUUCGCCUAACACCCAAUCCUGUCUAUUUAAACAGAUUCAGCCUAAUUUAAGGGAGAGUAUGGCUAGUGUAAAUUUCGUCUUAAUCUGAUUCCAAAUUACGACCGUCAUUACCAGACAAUAUUCCAAAGACACUCUUAUUUUUCUCAAACAUUUUUCCGGCGAAAAUGACUUUCAAAAGACCGACAUAGAGUCUCGCUCUUACUGUUUACUAGAUUCAUUUGAACACAUUCCAUCUCGUCUAUCAUCACCCAAUAGUACGACGAAGGUGAUCGCGACAAACAACUAAAUGUUUCGAUCCCAAAUUUUCUUUUUCGCUGUACUCAACAGAUUUACACAUGCAGUGUUAAAUAAAAAGGAAGUAUCUGAACGAUUUGCAAUAACGAAAA